Molecule: ribosomal RNA, 505 nt
Filed under: uncultured bacterium
Lineage: Bacteria
Description: partial 16S ribosomal RNA
Rfam family: Bacterial small subunit ribosomal RNA
Source: RNAcentral
GACGAACGCUGGCGGCGUGCCUAAUACAUGCAAGUAGAACGCACAGUUUAUACCGUAGCUUGCUCCACCAUAGACUGUGAGUUGCGAACGGGUGAGUAACGCGUAGGUAACCUGCCUGGUAGCGGGGGAUAACUAUUGGAAACGAUAGCUAAUACCGCAUAAUAUUGAUUAUUGCAUGAUAAUUAAUUGAAAGAUGCAAUUGCACCACUACCAGAUGGACCUGCGUUGUAUUAGCUAGUAGGUGAGGUAACGGCUCACCUAGGCGACGAUACAUAGCCGACCUGAGAGGGUGAUCGGCCACACUGGGACUGAGACACGGCCCAGACUCCUACGGGAGGCAGCAGUAGGGAAUCUUCGGCAAUGGACGAAAGUCUGACCGAGCAACGCCGCGUGAGUGAAGAAGGUUUUCGGAUCGUAAAGCUCUGUUGUAAGAGAAGAACGGGUGUGAGAGUGGAAAGUUCACACUGUGACGGUAUCUUAACAGAAAGGGACGGCUAACUACGUG